GCUAUUCCCCGUGGUCUUGGCGGUCGAGCUGUGGGGUGGGAAGUUGUCGAACGGGACUGUUGUGUUCUGGACAGACAACAUCAGUGUGGUCUUUGCGAUCAAUAACUUGUCAGCCACCUCAGCAAAGGUCAUUACCUUGCUGCGCCACCUGGUGUUGCGCUGUCUGGACCUUAACAUCCAGUUCCAGGCCCGUCAUGUCCCGGGCGUUGACAAUGUUGUAGCUGACGCCCUGUCACGAUUCGAAUGGGCGACAUUUCGCAAGUUAGCCCCCACAGCUGCAGCCGUGGGCUUACGCUGUCCUGAUUUCCUUUGGCAGCUCGUCCUUCCUGGAUAGCCUUACUGCCGUUGGUCCGCUCCUCCUUAGCACCAUCCACUUGGCACGCCUAUGCCCGCAUGUGGUCUGAAUGGGACAAUUUCUGUGCGUCCAGGGGAGCCGACGCUGCUCAGGGGUCUAGGGACAACUUACAUGAUUGGCUGGCACUACCCCCGGGGUGAAGCGAAUCUGGAUUGUGGGCCACUCCUUUGUCCACUGGGCCUCCCUACGCUGUGCGUCCCUCCCAUUUGGCCAAUCCCUAGGUCUCCCUACCAACAAGGCAUCCGUUAGGUGGUUGGGUGAUAGGGGGAUGUGCUGGCCCCAAUUAGCAGGAACCAUAUCUGAGGCCCUGGUACGCUGGGGGAAGCCUCACAUUAUUAUUCUUCACCUAGGGGGUAACGAUGUGGGGGCCAUACCAGUUUUACAGUUGAUUAAGGUUAUGCAGGCAGACAUUGGGUGGCUAAGAGUACGCAUCCCGGGGGUCAUGAUAGGGUGGUCCCAUAUAAUACCCCGUCUCCACUGGAGGCAUAUGUCGGCCCAUACGGCGGCAUACCGGGUUAGGAAGAAGAUCAAUGCGUCUGUAGCGAAAACCGUCACUGGGUCAGGUGGCUUCGUGGUACGGCACGAAGCCAUUUCGGCUGAUAGAACCGAGCUAUAUAGAAGGGAUAAAGUUCACCUUUCUGAUGUGGGGCUGGAUUUAUUCAUAGGGGACAUUCAGAGAGCUCUGUUACCCCUCCUGUAAAUCGGGUUGUGGGUUGGCGGCAAGGGUACCAUUAAAAUGCUUCCUUGUGGCGGGAGAUCCUCGGUCCGGUUGCGCAGGAGAAGGUCGCUAGGGGUGAGUGAUGGCCAGACUUCCGGGGAGGAGGGUAGGCCCUCACGUGCACGUGACGGUAACCCUCCUUCCUCCCUUUUGAGGGAUGGUCACGUGAUCUCUGCAACCCCUCAGCGUCAUCUCCUUAGGGCAGAGACCCCUCUGCUGCUGUUCCCGUUGGGCCGGUGAUCUCCUGCUGUUCUGGGUAGCUGAUCUCUAUGCCGCCAUAUAUAUUUUCAGUUCUAUCAGUUCUAUCUAGUUUGUUAGGUUAAUAAAAUUUUAUGGCCUGUGACGGUCACAAAAUUUUUCCCAUAAAAA
Long non-coding RNA from Bombina bombina (fire-bellied toad), 1442 nucleotides. RefSeq lists it as uncharacterized. The transcript has 2 exons. NCBI's taxonomy places the organism in Eukaryota, Metazoa, Chordata, Amphibia, Anura, Bombinatoridae. The record is from RefSeq and is a predicted model, not a curated record.